UCCCUGUUACCAGGGCAGUCUAGCUAGAGAAAUUCAACUAACUAUAAGGGUUGCGCUCGUUGCGGGACUUAACCCAACAUCUCACGACACGAGCUGACGACGGCCAUGCAACACCUGUCAUUUGGCUCCCUAAGGCACACUCUGCUUUCGCAGUGCUUCCAAAGAUGUCAAGCCUGGGUAAGGUUCUUCGCUUACCAUCGAAUUAAACAACACGCUCCACCGCUUGUGCGGGUCCCCGUCAAUUCAUUUAUGUUUUAGCCUUGCGGCCGUACUCCACAGGCGGGAUGCUUAACGCGUUAGCUUCGCUACGAAUCGGGUCGAUACGAUUCACAGCUAGCAUCCAUCGUUUACGGCGUGGACUAC
RNAcentral lists this unclassified non-coding RNA (363 nucleotides) under uncultured bacterium. RNAcentral describes it as "contains 16S-23S intergenic spacer region". The record is from RNAcentral.